AAUGACAAAGGAUUUGUAAACUU
RNAcentral lists this non-coding RNA (23 nucleotides) under Cricetulus griseus (Chinese hamster). The record is from RNAcentral. Lineage: Eukaryota; Metazoa; Chordata; Mammalia; Rodentia; Cricetidae.